CAAUAGCGUAUAUUAAAGUUGUUGCGGUUAAAAAGCUCGUAGUUGGAUCUCGGCAGGCAGGGGGUGGUUCGCUCUUAGCGCUACUGCCCCAUUUGCCUGUGUGAUUGGCGGAGGUUUCGGGGUGCUCUUCGUUGAGUGACCCGGGGCGCCGUCAGGUUUACUUUGAAAAAAUUAGAGUGCUCAAAGCAGGCUUUUCACGCUUGAAUAUUCGUGCAUGGAAUAGUGGAAUAGGAACUCGUUUCUAUUUUGUUGGUUUUCGGAAAUCGAGUUAAUGAUUAAUAGGGACAAUUGGGGGCAUUAGUAUUCAGACGACAGAGGUGAAAUUCUUGGACCGUCUGAAGACUAACUACUGCGAGAGCACUUGCCAAGAGUGUUUUCAUUAA
RNAcentral lists this ribosomal RNA (383 nucleotides) under uncultured eukaryote. RNAcentral describes it as "partial 18S ribosomal RNA". It matches the Rfam family "Eukaryotic small subunit ribosomal RNA", at positions 592 to 976 of the family's 1831-position model. The record is from RNAcentral.